Molecule: small RNA, 200 nt
Filed under: Arthrobacter sp.
Lineage: Bacteria; Bacillati; Actinomycetota; Actinomycetes; Micrococcales; Micrococcaceae
Description: c-di-AMP sequence
Rfam family: c-di-AMP riboswitch aptamer (ydaO/yuaA leader)
About the family: This family represents a conserved RNA structure found upstream of the ydaO and yuaA genes in Bacillus subtilis and related genes in other bacteria. The ydaO/yuaA element is thought to act as a genetic "off" switch for the ydaO and yuaA genes in its native state.
Source: RNAcentral
CCCACCAGCAUGCCGAGCCCUGCCGCUGGCCUGGGAUCAAUCGUUUCCGGAUGGCAGGGACGGGGGAACCAAGUUUCCACGGCUUCUUUGAAGCCUUGGGGUUAAGUCGAUAGCACCUCUGUCCUUGAUGGGGUGCUCCCGGCCGGGUAGCUCCAACCCGAACCCGACAGCUCACCCCGCAGGCAUGGGAGAGGCGAUCU